This 77-nucleotide transfer RNA is filed under the name Actinomycetales bacterium. RNAcentral describes it as "tRNA-Val". It matches the Rfam family "tRNA". From Rfam's summary of the family: Transfer RNA (tRNA) molecules are approximately 80 nucleotides in length. Their secondary structure includes four short double-helical elements and three loops (D, anti-codon, and T loops). The record is from RNAcentral. Lineage: Bacteria; Bacillati; Actinomycetota; Actinomycetes; Actinomycetales.
GGGCCUGUAGCUCAGCCUGGUAGAGCACCGCGUUUACACCGCGGGUGUCGUCGGUUCGAACCCGGCCGGGCCCACCA